This 653-nucleotide ribosomal RNA is filed under the name uncultured archaeon. RNAcentral's name for it is "bacterial SSU rRNA". It matches the Rfam family "Archaeal small subunit ribosomal RNA", at positions 44 to 697 of the family's 1478-position model. The record is from RNAcentral.
CUUAGGAAUGCUAGUCGACCGACGUUCCUUUAGGAACGGAGGGGCGAACAGCUCAGUAACACGUGGCUAAUCUGCCCUCGCGUGGGGAACAACCUCGGGAAACUGAGGCUAAUACCCCAUAGGGGUGGUAGUCUGGAAGGACUCCUCCUCGAAAGCUCUUGCGCGCGAGGAUGAGGCCGCGGCCGAUUAGGUAGUAGGUAGUGUAACGGACCACCUAGCCUUCGAUCGGUACGGGCCGUGGGAGCGGGAGCCCGGAGACGGGUACUUAGACAAGGACCUGGGCCCUAAGGGGCGCAGCAUUCGCGAAAACUCCCCAAUGCGCGAAAGCGUGAGGGGGGAACCCCAAGUGCCAGCACAAAGUGUUGGCUUUUCUGGAGUGCAAAAAGCUCCAGGAAUAAGGGCUGGGUAAGACCGGUGCCAGCCGCCGCGGUAACACCGGCAGCCCAAGUGAUGUCCGCAAUUAUUGGGCUUAAAGCGUUCGUAGCCGGCCUGUUAAGUCCCCGGUCAAAUCCGACGGCUCAACCGUCGGCUAUCUGGGGAUACUGGCAGGCUUGAGGCCGGGAGAGGUCAGAGGUACUCCUGGGGUAGGGGUAAAAUCCGAUAAUCCUGGGGGGACACCAGUGGCGAGGCGUCUGACUGGAACGGCCUGACGG